CAGAGAGUUAUGUCUCCACUGUCUGUUUUAAGUGCCCAUUGGAUUGGAAAUCAUAUCAUUAGAGCAACCUAUCAGUUUAGUUUCUCCAAAUCUUGAUGGGUGUGGAAACAGAUUGGCAAGAAGAGCCAAUCCAUGGGACUUAAAAGCAUGGACAUGGAGUGAGGUUUGUCUCAAACCUCCUCCAAAACUCAACAGUUCGUCUGAGCUCAGUCAAUGGCUGCUAACUACAGCAAGGCAAUGAUCUAGAGGUAGCAGAGGUUUGGCUAUUGCUUGGCGAACCGGCAAGUCACAAAUCGGCAACCGGCUCAGUCAUGAGUCUUUUAAUUUAAGGAUAUCUUUCAAUUCUGUUAUGUUAUUUUGAGUUCUUGCAUGAGAAUGUAAUAAUACAAGUGUUUGUGGUUUUAAUGUGAUGAUUCUCUUCUCUUUAUCAGUUCAGUUGCUGCAAAACGUGUUGAGUAAAAACUGAAAUAUGAAGAAAGACUUUGAGGAUACAACAAAGUCUGGAAUCUGCAAAUAGCAAAAACUCGAAGAAUUCCCUUAGAAAUUGCUAUAAGGAAAUUGUAUGAUUGUAGAACCGGAAAGAAUAGGAAACUAUUUAGGAUUGGUUUCUGAUAUCUUGCUCUGAUAACAAUAGGAAGUAUAUAUAGAGUAUAGAAGGCACCCAUUCAAUUUAUCUGAAAAUGUGCAACGCCACUUUCUCAAAGGACACUACCAAAUAUCAUGUCUGUUGGUAUAUACCAUUUCAACCAAAAGACAAAUUAGUUGGUAUGUACCAUUUAGCCAAAAGAUAUAUAAUUGAUUUAACCAAAAGACAUAUUGAUGAAUCA
Long non-coding RNA from Prunus persica (peach), 827 nucleotides. RefSeq lists it as uncharacterized. The transcript has 2 exons. NCBI's taxonomy places the organism in Eukaryota, Viridiplantae, Streptophyta, Magnoliopsida, Rosales, Rosaceae. The record is from RefSeq and is a predicted model, not a curated record.